GGGGGCGUAGCUCAGUUGGUAGAGCGCUUGCAUGGCAUGCAAGAGGUAGUGGGUUCGAUCCCCAUCGCCUCCA
RNAcentral lists this transfer RNA (73 nucleotides) under Acidimicrobiia bacterium. RNAcentral's name for it is "tRNA-Ala". It matches the Rfam family "tRNA". Rfam says of the family: Transfer RNA (tRNA) molecules are approximately 80 nucleotides in length. The record is from RNAcentral. Lineage: Bacteria; Bacillati; Actinomycetota; Acidimicrobiia. RNAcentral also lists the same sequence under 2 other names.